RNAcentral lists this ribosomal RNA (807 nucleotides) under uncultured Pelagibacteraceae bacterium. RNAcentral's name for it is "bacterial SSU rRNA". It matches the Rfam family "Bacterial small subunit ribosomal RNA", at positions 34 to 889 of the family's 1533-position model. The record is from RNAcentral. Lineage: Bacteria; Pseudomonadati; Pseudomonadota; Alphaproteobacteria; Candidatus Pelagibacterales; Candidatus Pelagibacteraceae.
CGCUGGCGGCACGCCUAAUACAUGCAAGUCGAACGAAGUAGCAAUACUUAGUGGCAGACGGGUGAGUAACAUGUAGGUAUCUUCCCUUUGGCCUGGAAUAACAUGAGGAAACUUAUGCUAAUACCGGAUAAGUCUUUACGGAGAAAGCUUUAUGCACCAUUGGAUGAGCCUGCACUUGAUUAGUUUGUUGGUGGGGUAAUGGCCUACCAAGACAAUGAUCAAUAGCUGAUUUGAGAGGAUGAUCAGCCACAUUGGGACUGAGACACGGCCCAAACUCCUACGGGAGGCAGCAGUAGGGAAUCUUGCACAAUGGAGGAAACUCUGAUGCAGCGAUGCCGCGUGAGUGAAGAAGGCCCUUGGGUUGUAAAGCUCUUUCGUCGGGGAAGAAAAUGACUGUACCCGAAUAAGAAGGUCCGGCUAACUUCGUGCCAGCAGCCGCGGUAAUACGAAGGGACCUAGCGUAGUUCGGAAUUACUGGGCUUAAAGAGUUCGUAGGUGGUUAAAAAAGUUGGUGGUGAAAUCCCAGAGCUUAACUCUGGAACUGCCAUCAAAACUUUUUAGCUAGAGUAUGAUAGAGGAAAGCAGAAUUUCUAGUGUAGAGGUGAAAUUCGUAGAUAUUAGAAAGAAUACCAAUUGCGAAGGCAGCUUUCUGGAUCAUUACUGACACUGAGGAACGAAAGCAUGGGUAGCGAAGAGGAUUAGAUACCCUCGUAGUCCAUGCCGUAAACGAUGUGUGUUAGACGUUGGAAAUUUAUUUUCAGUGUCGCAGUGAAAGCAAUAAACACACCGCCUGGGGAGUACGACCGC